UAUGGCCAUAUCACAUUGAAUCACCGUUUCUCGUACGAUUACCGAAGUUAAGCAACAUCGGCCUGGUUAGUACCUAAAUGGGUGACCGCUUGGGAAUAUCAGGUGCUGUAAG
RNAcentral lists this ribosomal RNA (112 nucleotides) under Acanthosepion pharaonis. Lineage: Eukaryota; Metazoa; Mollusca; Cephalopoda; Sepiida; Sepiidae. The record is from RNAcentral.